Molecule: ribosomal RNA, 255 nt
Filed under: uncultured bacterium
Lineage: Bacteria
Description: partial 16S ribosomal RNA
Rfam family: Bacterial small subunit ribosomal RNA
Source: RNAcentral
UACGUAGGGUGCGAGCGUUGUCCGGAAUUACUGGGCGUAAAGAGCUCGUAGGUGGUUUUGUCGCGUUGUCCGUGAAAAACUCACAGCUCAACUGUGGGCGUGCGGGCGAUACGGGCAGACUGGAGUACUGCAGGGGAGACUGGAAUUCCUGGUGUAGCGGUGAAAUGCGCAGAUAUCAGGAGGAACACCGGUGGCGAAGGCGGGUCUCUGGGCCGAUAUUGACGCUGAGGAGCGAAAGCGUGGGGAGCGAACAGG